CCUACGGGAGGCAGCAGUGGGGGAUAUUGCACAAUGGGGGAAACCCUGAUGCAGCGACGCCGCGUGGGUGAAGAAGCGCCUCGGCGCGUAAAGCCCUGUCAGCAGGGAAGAAAAUGACGGUACCUGAAGAAGAAGCCCCGGCUAACUACGUGCCAGCAGCCGCGGUAAUACGUAGGGGGCAAGCGUUAUCCGGAUUUACUGGGUGUAAAGGGGGCGCAGGCGGCGAUGCAAGCCAGGAGUGAAAGCCCGGGGCCCAACCCCAGGACUGCUCUUGGAACUGCGUGGCUAGAGUGCAGGAGGGGCAGGCGGAAUUCCUGGUGUAGCGGUGAAAUGCGUAGAUAUCAGGAGGAACACCGAUGGCGAAGGCGGCCUGCUGGACUGCAACUGACGUUGAGGCCCGAAAGCGUGGGGAGCAAACAGGAUUAGAUACCCCAGUAGUC
This 440-nucleotide ribosomal RNA is filed under the name uncultured bacterium. RNAcentral describes it as "partial 16S ribosomal RNA". It matches the Rfam family "Bacterial small subunit ribosomal RNA", at positions 338 to 795 of the family's 1533-position model. The record is from RNAcentral.